CUACGGAGGGUCCGAGCGUUAUCCGGAAUCAUUGGGUUUAAAGGGUCCGUAGGCGGGAAUCUAAGUCAGUGGUGAAAUCUUGCAGCUCAACUGUAAAAUUGCCAUUGAUACUGGAUUUCUUGAAUUAGUGUGAAGUGGUUAGAAUGCGUAGUGUAGCGGUGAAAUGCAUAGAUAUUACACAGAAUACCAAUUGCGAAGGCAGAUCACUAACACUAUAUUGACGCUAAGGGACGAAAGCGUGGGGAGCGAACAGGAUUAGAAACCCGGGUAGUCC
This 274-nucleotide ribosomal RNA is filed under the name uncultured bacterium. Its description in RNAcentral is "partial 16S ribosomal RNA". It matches the Rfam family "Bacterial small subunit ribosomal RNA", at positions 523 to 796 of the family's 1533-position model. The record is from RNAcentral.